AUUGAAAAGUUGAACUUAGUUAUCAAGGAGCUCGUUAAGGAAAAUGAUGAAGAAAAAGAAAGGCGAAAUGGAAUUAUUGCUGGGUUGUUGGCUGAAAAGAAAAAAGAUAAGGUGGAUAAAGAUGCUAUGCUCGAUACGAUGCCACAAAUUGAAGCUAUGUUAACAAUUAUUUCAUGUUUUAGCUGAUAUUUCUAUUAGAAUGUUUUAUAUGCUUUUGAUACACAUAUGUUUUAUAUAAUUUUGGGUUUUCGUGAU
This 255-nucleotide long non-coding RNA is filed under the name Helianthus annuus (common sunflower). RNAcentral's name for it is "hypothetical non coding rna". The record is from RNAcentral. Lineage: Eukaryota; Viridiplantae; Streptophyta; Magnoliopsida; Asterales; Asteraceae.